This 472-nucleotide ribosomal RNA is filed under the name uncultured bacterium. RNAcentral's name for it is "partial 16S ribosomal RNA". It matches the Rfam family "Bacterial small subunit ribosomal RNA", at positions 28 to 523 of the family's 1533-position model. The record is from RNAcentral.
GACGAACGCUGGCGGCGUGCUUAACACAUGCAAGUCGAACGGGGGUAUCGAAGAAGCUUGCUUUAGAGAUACUUUAGUGGCGGACGGGUGAGUAACGCGUGAGGAGCUGUCCUAUGCAGGGGGACAACAGUUGGAAACGACUGCUAAUACCCCAUAAGCCGAGAGGUAAAAGGAUUUAUCCGGCAGAGGAGGUACUCGCGUCCUAUCAGCUAGUAGGUGAGGUAACGGCUCACCUAGGCGAAGACGGGUAGCCGGCCUGAGAGGGCGAACGGACACACUGGAACUGAGAUACGGUCCAGACUCCUACGGGAGGCAGCAGUGGGGCAUAUUGGGCAAUGGGGGGAACCCUGACCCAGCGACGCCGCGUGGGUGAAGAAAUCCUUCGGGAUGUAAAGCCCUGUUGUAUGGGAAGAGCGGAAGACGGUACCAUACGAGGAAGCCCCGGCAAACUACGUGCCAGCAGCCGCAGUAA